CCUCUGACCACAAGGGGUAUCGGUGUAUGGACCUCGCCUCCCACCGCAUCAUCAUCUCUCGUCACGUCGUCUUCGACGAGGAUGUGUUUCCCCUUGCUGGCCCCUUCCCACCCACCGAUCACGACUCCCUCCUCGAGUCUGAUCCGGUCUCCCCCUCCUCCCAGGCGUCCCGCCUUGCGCCGUUACCCGCACCCCGUGCGGCCUCGACGCAGCGGCUUGCGCCUAUUCCCGCGCCACGCGCGGCCCCGUCGAUCAUGCCUACGCCACACGCGGCCCCGUCGACCACGCCUGCGCCUAUUCCCGCGCCACGCGCGGCCCCGUCGAUCACGCCUACGCCACGCGCGGCCCCGUCGACCACGCCUGCGCCUUGCGCGGCCCCACCGACCCCUCCCAUCCCAUGCGCGGCCCUGUCAACCACGCCUGCGCCUCGCGCUGCCCCGCCGACCCCUCCCGCACCAUGCGCGACCCCGUCGACGCCCACGGCUCGCUUCGCCGACCCCGCGCUCGUCUACCACCGUUGCCGCCACGUCACUACCUUGGCACCUACGGACCCGGGCCCGUCGAUGAGCCCAGUACGCUUCGCCGACCUCGUCGUCGUCUCUCACUGCCGCGAGUCGGCCACGCCCGUGGCCCCCGACGUCCCGGUAGACCGCCUCGAGCCACCGGUGUACCACCCGGUCGCCAUCUACCGCAACCCCGGGCACGUCCACCCGAUGGUCACCCGGCGCGCCGCUGGCAUUCUUCGUCCUAUCGACCGGCUGAUCUUGGCAGCUGAUACGACUACCACUCCACCAGACGCCUCCCUGGUCCCCUUCGUUCGCACCGCUCUCGCUGACCCACACUGGCGACGCGCUAUGGAGAAGGAGUACGCGACCCUCCUGGCCAACCACACCUGGGACCUAGUGCUGUGUCCACUAGGCACCAACGUGGUCACCGGCAAGUGGCUAUUUCGCCACAAGCUUACCUCGGACGGCUCCCUCGACCGCUACAAGGCCCGUUGGGUCCUUCGGGGCUUCACCCAACGCCCCGGAGUGGACUACGACGAGACCUUCAGCCCCGUCGUCAAGUUUGCCACUGUUCGCACCGUCCUCUCCCUUGCCCUCUCCCGGGACUGGGCGAUUCAUUAGCUCGACGUCAAGAAUGCCUUCCUCCACGACACUCUGACGGAGACUGUCUACUGCAGCCAGCCCACCGGCUUUGUCGACGAAGCUCGUCCGGAUCUAGUCUGCCGGCUAAACCGCUCUCUCUACGGCCUCAAGCAGGCCCCGCGAGCCUAGUACAGUCGCUUCGCUUCCUACUUAGCCUCCAUUGGCUUCGUCGAGGCCAAGUCGGACACAUCCCUCUUCAUCUACCGACGCGGUGACGACACCGUCUUCCUUCUGCUCUACGUCGACAACAUUGUGCUCACGGCAUCCACCACCGACCUUCUUCAGCGCACGAUCGUCGCCCUGCAGCGGGAGUUCGCGAUGAAGGACCUGGGGCCCCUCCACCACUUCCUCGGCAUCACCGUCGAGCGCCGGCCCUAGGGUCUCUUCCUCCAUCAGCGCCAGUACGCCAUCGACAUACUGGAGUGGGCUGGCAUGUUCGACUGCAAGCCUUGCUCCACGCCUGUCGACACUCAGGCGAAGCUCUUAGAGGACGACGAGCCCCCGAUCGCCGAUGCGACGUCCUACCGGAGCCUGACCGGCGCGCUCCAGUACCACACCUUCUCCAGGCCUGACAUCGCCUACGUCGUCCAGCAGGUGUGCCUGCAUAUGCACACCCCAUGGGAGCCUCAUCUCACCGCUCUCAAGCGGAUCCUGCGCUACCUCCGUGGCUCCCUCGACUACGGCCUCCUACUCCGACCAUCCCCGACGUCGGAACUCGUGGUCUACACCGACGCCGACUGGGCUGGCUGUCCAGACACGCGUCGAUCCACCUCUGGUUACGCCGUGUUCCUGGGCGCCAACCUCGUCUCCUAGGCCGCCAAGCGGCAGCCCGUCGUCUCUCGCUCCAGUGCUAAGGCCGAGUACCGCGCCGUGGCCAACGGCGUAGCAGAGGCCUCCUAGCUGCGACAGCUCCUCCACGAACUCCACAGUCCCCUCCAGCGCGCCACCCUCGUCUACUGCGACAAUGUCAGCGCAGUCUACCUCUCCACCAAUCCCGUGCAGCAUUAGCGCACGAAGCACGUGGAGAUCGACCUGCACUUCGUCCGCGAGCGUGUCACCGCCGGUGACGUUCUGGUUCUCAGCGUCCCCACCACGCUGCAGUUCGCUGACAUCUUCACCAAGGGGUUACCGUCGAGUGUAUUUUUAGACUUUCGCUCCAGUCUUAACAUCUGUACAGGAUAGAGUUGUUACUGCGGGGGUGUUAGAAUACCCGUUUAGGGUUUGGGGUUUUCCCCGUGUAUUCACUAUCUUACCCCUCUGUAAUGGGCCUGACCCAGUUUACUCAAGCCUAUUAAUACAACACCCCAGACCCAGUUAGGGUUAGGGUUUUCACUGUUCAACAUCAGGCACAUGGAUAGCUGUUUUUCAUGCACUUCUAUUGAAGGCUAAAUCUUUGGAUAUAUUCCAUCAUUUCAAGUCUUAUUUUACCGCCACUUCCCAUGUCAACUUCGGCCCUCCCCUAUCUCUCAUCCCAUUGCUAUGACGCCUUAGGAUCCCACUAUACACUGGUGUCUCAACUGGUGUUGGACAUAUCGAUAGCAUCUCAACCAAUGUUGGACAAAUUUUUCUUCAUUUGAUUGUAUCCCUAGCCUAUCAUGUAUAUCAUCAUUUCCUGAUUCCAUCACUUCUUGUAUGGCCACAAUCUAAUGCAACAUACACAUUUUCUCAACAUUUAUCUACUGAACAUGUCUUUUUAUAGGCUAACAUUCUACAAUAUACAACAUAGCAUGUCUAAUCACAGUCCUAUAAAUCUUGCUUUUAACUUAUGCGGUACUGUAUUGUCAUAUAGAAUGCUAGAUGUUUGAUGCCACUUCAUCCACCCUGCUUUGAUUCUAUGGCUAACAUCUUCAUCAAUAUUCUCGUCUCUCUAUAGCAUUGAUCCUAAAUAUCGAAAUGUAUCCUUCCUGGACACUACUUGACCAACCAAACUAACAUUUUCCUCAUGUGUAGUGAUACCGUAGUCACAUCUCAUAUAUUUGGUUUUAGUUCUAUUGAGUCUAUAACCUUUGUAUUCUAGAGUCUUCCGCCAUGACUCUAGUUUGCUAUUUUACUCUUGCUCUACUUUCAUCAACUAACACUACAUCGUUCGCAAAAAGCAUUUACCAAGAGAUAUCCCCUUGUGAUCUUAUCCAUCACCAAGGCAAAGAGGUAAUGACUCAAAGAUGACCUUUGAUGUAGUCUUAUUCUAAUUAGGAAGUCAUUUCUCAUUUGUGUCUCUGUUACUUGUUCGAACACUAGUCACAACAUCGUUGUACUGUCAUUAAUGAGUCGAAGGUAUUUUGUUGAAACACUAUGUUUGUUCGAAGCCCACCACACAAUGUUCCUUGAUAUUUUAUCAUAAGCCUUCUUCAAGUCAAUGAAAACCAUGUAUAGGUCCUUGUGCUCCCACUUGUCUUAUUAAGAAAAACAGCUUUUAUGGGUGACCUUCCAUGCAUGAAACCAAAUUGUUUCAUAGAGAUCCUCAUUAUUACUUUUAGUUGAUGCUUGACAAUUCUCUCUCAUAGCUUCAUAGUAUGGCUCGUUAAUUUAAUUCCUUAGUAAUUAGUACAACUUUGAAUAUCUCCCUUUUUUUAGAUUGGUAUCAAUAUGCUCUCCACUCGUCAGGUAUCUUGUUCGACCAGAAGAUAUUAUUGAACAACUUGCUUAGUCAUACUAUAGCUAUGUCCUCGAGGCAUCUCCAUGCCUUAAUUAGGUUAAGUGAAAUAUGAAACAUCGAUAAGGAAAAUAUGAAGCGCUAAUAUUAUAUUAAAUUCUAGAGCCUUGACAUGAUGUACUGAUCUGGAUGAUUUGCCUUAUAUAUUUUUGUUUCAUUUUGUAGCUGGUGCAAAAAUAUUCUCGGCUCGAACAAUUAAAGUUAAGGAAGAGGAGGAUAUUAGGACAUAUUACUUCUAUGAAUUCAGUCUGGACAAGCAACACGUAGCUCUGAUGGCUACCGUGAAUAGUGGGA
Molecule: RNA transcript, 4095 nt
Organism: Zea mays
Lineage: Eukaryota; Viridiplantae; Streptophyta; Magnoliopsida; Poales; Poaceae
Exons: 2
Source: RefSeq, a predicted model, not a curated record